ACCAAGCACCGUGUCCUGGUCCUCCCGCCUAUGUGUGGAGCCUCCCAUCCCCCUUGGACAGGCCCAAGCAAGGCUUCUCAAAGCGCCGUCCCUUUGCCCUAGCUGUUUGCUCCAGCAUCUUUUGACUCGGGGCCGCUUCCCCACCACUGUGCAGGAGCCACUGGACCGCGUCCACCCCUGGCGGCAGCCGGCCUGGGUCCCUCUCCAUGGUCCUGUACUGGCCCCGCGUCCCGGCAGGUGCUUGCGCACUCACGCACGCACUGGGUCAAGGUCUGGGCACCAACGCGCCGGGGCGGGGGGCUUCGGAUGGAUGAUCCAUCAAAAGGACUGCCCUUUUCCUGUGUGUUCCUGCUGUUUCUAUCAUAAAAUGUGUCAACCGAGAAACGUAUAUGCUGUGUAAGGACGACAAGGGAUGCUGGAUGAGACUCACUCCUGCUGCUCUCUAGAAUCAGGAGCCAGGCCAGCUGGGCGCUGACCCCUUUCCUUCCCUCCAACCGCAGACGGCCCCAGGUCAGAGCGGCCACACCCUGACAUGCCGUCCGGCAACGUGACCAUCAGGAGCCCAGACUCACCACGAGGUCAUCGCAGGAGCGAGGGCAGGGAGGGCCACAGGCGCUGUACUCCGCCCCUUCGAUGGCGGGAGAAGAGGCCGGGAAGUGGUGUCCACCACACAGAAGAGGAACCCGAGGGUCUGGGAAGUAAAGCAAGUUGCCCUACGUCCCACAUGGAGUUCAUGAGUGACCAAGGAUUCUGACCCAGCCUCCCCGCCAAUUCCACUCUCCACGAGCUCCCUGNNNNNNNNNNNNNNNNNGCUGCCCUCUGUCCCAUGGUUUUAUUGCCUUGAUAAAAAGAAUUUGCCUUUUUAAACUUUAUUCCAUUUAUGUUUAUUAAACACUGUAGAGAUGGUUUUGAGUGACUCUUCCAGGCCAGUUAGGAGCUACUCAGAAGGAGUAAAUACUAGUUUGAGUCUCCUGGAUUUCUCUUUUGAAGUUUUCCUCCUUUUUGUUUUUCUCCAGUAAAUGCUUCAAAACCCACUCAUCAAAAAUGUUGACAUUUCAGAAAAAAAAAUCUAAGAGAGAAAAGGAAAACGAGAAAGGGGCAGGGUAGAGAGGAAGAAUGAAGGAGGGGAUUGAGGGAGGACCAGAGCAUAGAAAGUAAAAAGGAAGAUAAAAAUGAACUGAAUAAAGAA
RNAcentral lists this long non-coding RNA (1189 nucleotides) under Capra hircus (goat). Its description in RNAcentral is "lncRNA (ENSCHIG00010011508.1)". Lineage: Eukaryota; Metazoa; Chordata; Mammalia; Artiodactyla; Bovidae. The record is from RNAcentral.